RNAcentral lists this ribosomal RNA (253 nucleotides) under uncultured prokaryote. RNAcentral describes it as "partial 16S ribosomal RNA". It matches the Rfam family "Bacterial small subunit ribosomal RNA", at positions 524 to 776 of the family's 1533-position model. The record is from RNAcentral.
UACAGAGACUGCAAGCGUUAUUCGGAUUCAUUGGGCGUAAAGGGUGCGUAGGCGGUCGGGUAAGUCGGAUGUGAAAUCCCAGGGCUCAACCCUGGAACUGCAUUCGAUACUGCCUGGCUAGGGUACUGGAGAGGAGACUGGAAUUUACGGUGUAGCAGUGAAAUGCGUAGAUAUCGUAAGGAAGACCAGUGGCGAAGGCGAGUCUCUGGACAGUUACCGACGCUGAGGCACGAAGGUCAGGGGAGCAAACGGG